This 528-nucleotide ribosomal RNA is filed under the name fungal clone UUF-45. RNAcentral describes it as "SSU rRNA". It matches the Rfam family "Eukaryotic small subunit ribosomal RNA", at positions 214 to 737 of the family's 1831-position model. The record is from RNAcentral. Lineage: Eukaryota; Fungi.
AUUAAAAAACCCAAUGCCCUUUCGGGGSUUUUUGGUGAUUCAUGWUAACUUUAACGGGAUUGCAUAGCCUUGCGCUUGGCGACGGUUCAUUCAAAUUUCUGCCCUAUCAACUUUCGAUGGUAAGGUAUUGGCUUACCAUGGUUUCAACGGGUAACGGGGAAUUAGGGUUCGAUUCCGGAGAGGGAGCCUGAGAAACGGCUACCACAUCCAAGGAAGGCAGCAGGCGCGCAAAUUACCCAAUCCCGACACGGGGAGGUAGUGACAAUAAAUACUGAUACAGGGCUCUUUUGGGUCUUGUAAUUGGAAUGAGUACAAUUUAAACCUCUUAACGAGGAACAAUUGGAGGGCAAGUCUGGGUGCCAGCAGCCGCGGUAAUUCCAGCUCCAAUAGCGUAUAUUAAAGUUGUUGCAGUUAAAAAGCUCGUAGUUGAAACUUGGGCCUGGCUGGCGGGUCCGCCUCACCGCCGUGCACUCSUCCGGCCGGGCCUUCCUUCCUGAAGAACCUCAUGCCCUUCAACUGGGCCKUSCU